RNAcentral lists this transfer RNA (94 nucleotides) under Propionigenium maris DSM 9537. Its description in RNAcentral is "tRNA-Sec". It matches the Rfam family "Selenocysteine transfer RNA". The record is from RNAcentral. Lineage: Bacteria; Fusobacteriati; Fusobacteriota; Fusobacteriia; Fusobacteriales; Fusobacteriaceae.
GGAAGUGGAUGAGCAACUGGUGUUCUCCCCGGUCUUCAAAACCGUGUGGGCGGCGUGAGUCGUCGGUAGGUUCGAUUCCUACACAUUUCCGCCA